This 566-nucleotide ribosomal RNA is filed under the name uncultured Glomeromycotina. Its description in RNAcentral is "SSU rRNA". It matches the Rfam family "Eukaryotic small subunit ribosomal RNA", at positions 548 to 1114 of the family's 1831-position model. The record is from RNAcentral. Lineage: Eukaryota; Fungi; Glomeromycota.
UUGGAGGGCAAGUCUGGUGCCAGCAGCCGCGGUAAUUCCAGCUCCAAUAGCGUAUAUUAAAGUUGUUGCAGUUAAAAAGCUCGUAGUUGAAUUUCGGGAUCAAUGUUUCGGUCAUGCCGUUGGUAUGUACUGAUAUUAUUGAUUUCUCACCUUCUAAAGAACCGUAAUGCCAUUAAUUUGGUGUCACGGGGAAUUAGGACUGUUACCUUGAAAAAAUUAGAGUGUUUAAAGCAGGCUAACGCUUGAAUACAUUAGCAUGGAAUAAUGAAAUAGGACAUCCGAUUCUAUUUUGUUGGUUUCUAGGAUCGAUGUAAUGAUUAAUAGGGAUAGUUGGGGGCAUUAGUAUUCAAUUGUCAGAGGUGAAAUUCUUGGAUUUAUUGAAGACUAACUACUGCGAAAGCAUUUGCCAAGGAUGUUUUCAUUAACCAAGAACGAAAGUUAGGGGAUCGAAGACGAUCAGAUACCGUCGUAGUCUUAACCAUAAACUAUGCCGACUAGGGAUCGGAUGAUGUUAAUUUUUUAAUGACCCAUUCGGCGCCUUACGGGAAACCAAAGUGUUUGGGUUC